This 1096-nucleotide long non-coding RNA is filed under the name Malus domestica (apple). Its description in RNAcentral is "long non-coding RNA (MDOM_LNC019494)". Lineage: Eukaryota; Viridiplantae; Streptophyta; Magnoliopsida; Rosales; Rosaceae. The record is from RNAcentral.
AUAGUUUAUUUUAAAUAAACACAAGUCCGAAUACUUUGCGAAAGGUUUCAAAGAAUUCAAGAAAUGUAAGUUGAUGAGUAAGACAUCUAAAGUAUUUACAUCCUUAGAUUUGAUCUAAGGAAAUGGUAACACUUUUGAAUAGUUUUCCUUGAAAGAUAUCAAGGAGAAUAGCAUCAUAAGAUAAUGAAUUUCUCCAUUAGGAGAAGAACGAACUCGAAUAAGAUUUAGUUUGUUGGAUGUUAUCUAUUACCCAUAUAUAUGAUAUAUAUACUUCUAAAACAAUAUGAUUGUCAAUUAGAAGAUCUUCCAAAAAAUUUCAUGACUCCAUAGGAUGUAGUUGGAAAGAAAGACAAAUCUUAAGCAUGUUAAGAUUUGGGGUUGUGUGCUAAUAAGCAAUAUUUGUUUGAUAACAAUCUUGUGGGAUAUCCUUAAAUUAACUUUUGGAUAUCACUUCUAUAAACCAACUAACAAAUGUUGUUUUGUUGGGUAGUUCAAUGUAAUCCUAUGAUAGGAGCAUAUUUAUGCGCCUUAGUUAGUUAGUUCUUAUGCAUUUAUGUUGUGUUUUCUUAGUUAAGUUAGUCUUUUAAGCUAUUUUCAUGUGUUUUCAGGUUUUAGAGACAAAGUGAGCAAAAUGAUGUAAUUUGGAGCAUUUUGGAGCAAAAUUGGGCUAGAAUGAAGUUCAUGCACAUGAAGCACAAAGGAUGGACGAAUUUGAAGGAUUGAUGAAGCUAGGAAUGUGUUUCAAAGUUGAAGAAUUGAAGAUACAAAGUUUCCUAGUUGAAGUAGGAAAGGGCUUAAAUGAAGGAUUCCUAAUCAAUGUAGGAGUCCUAAUUAAAGAUGGAUUCCUAGACGAAUGAAGUUUCCUACUCAAGCAAGGUUUCCUAUAUGAAGAAGAAGAGUUAAAGCCAAAGAAUCAGCUCAAGAUAAGGAUCUUAUCCAAAAACCUCAUCCAUAACCUUAUCUUUAGCUUAUCUUAUCCAAACAAACCUUAUCCUAUCCUAUCUUAUCCUAAUCCUAAACUAUCCACAUCUCAGCCACUUAGGAGGGUUUCUAACUAGAUUAGGAUGCUUAAAAUGGGAUUUCUAGAAGACCUAAU